Molecule: ribosomal RNA, 736 nt
Filed under: uncultured Chloroflexota bacterium
Lineage: Bacteria; Bacillati; Chloroflexota
Description: bacterial SSU rRNA
Rfam family: Bacterial small subunit ribosomal RNA
Source: RNAcentral
GGCGGUUCCGUAAGUUGGGUGUGAAAGCUCCGGGCUUAACCCGGAGAGGUCAUUCAAUACUGCGGAACUUGAGGACAUCAGAGGAGCGUGGAAUUUCCGGUGUAGCGGUAAAAUGCGCAGAUAUCGGAAGGAACACCAAUGGCGAAGGCAGCGCUCUGGGGUGGGCCUGACGCUAAGAGACGAAAGCUAGGGGAGCGAACAGGAUUAGAGACCCUGGUAGUCCUAGCCCUAAACGAUGGAUGCUAGGUGUGGGACCGAGAGGUUCCGUGCCGGAGUUAACGCGCUAAGCAUCCCGCCUGGGGAUUACGGCCGCAAGGCUAAAACUCAAACGAAUUGACGGGGCCCCGCACAAGCAGCGGAGCGUGUGGUUUAAUUCGAUGCUACACGAAGAACCUUACCUGGGUUUGACAUCCACGUGGUAGUGGAACGAAAGUGAAGCGACCCUUCGGGGAGCGUGGACAGGUGCUGCAUGGCUGUCGUCAGCUCGUGCCGUGAGGUGUCGGGUUAAGUCCCGUAACGAGCCCAACCCUUGCCCUUAGUUACAAGUGUCUAAGGGGACUGCCGGCGGUAAGCCGGAGGAAGGUGGGGAUGACGUCAAGUCAGCAUGGCCCUUAUAUCCAGGGCUACACACACGCUACAAUGGUCAGUACAAAGGGCAGCGCAGCCGCGAGGUGAAGCGAAUCCCAGCAAAGCUGAUCGUAGUUCGGAUUGCAGGCUGCAACUCGCCUGCAUGAAG